GUUAGGAAUAUUGGACAAUGGGCGAAAGCCUGAUCCAGCCAUGCCGCGUGAACGAUGAAGGCCUUCGGGUUGUAAAGUUCUUUAGCCGAUGAUUAUAAUGACUGUAGUCGGAAAAUAAGCCCCGGCUAACUUCGUGCCAGCAGCCGCGGUAAUACGAAGGGGGCGAGCGUUAUUCGGAAUCACUGGGCGUAAAGCGUGCGUAGGCGGUCUCGUAAGUUAGGAGUGAAAGCCCAGGGCUCAACCUUGGAAUUGCUCUUAAUACUGCAAGGCUAGAAUCUCGGAGAGGAUAGCGGAAUUUCCAGUGUAGCAGUGAAAUGCGUAGAUAUUGGAAGGAACACCAGUGGCGUAAGCGGCUAUCUGGACGAGUAUUGACGCUGAGGCACGAAAGCGUGGGGAGCAAACAGGAUUAGAAACCCGGGUAGUCC
Molecule: ribosomal RNA, 425 nt
Filed under: uncultured bacterium
Lineage: Bacteria
Description: partial 16S ribosomal RNA
Rfam family: Bacterial small subunit ribosomal RNA
Source: RNAcentral